This 465-nucleotide ribosomal RNA is filed under the name Vreelandella stevensii. RNAcentral's name for it is "partial 16S ribosomal RNA". It matches the Rfam family "Bacterial small subunit ribosomal RNA", at positions 338 to 795 of the family's 1533-position model. Lineage: Bacteria; Pseudomonadati; Pseudomonadota; Gammaproteobacteria; Oceanospirillales; Halomonadaceae. The record is from RNAcentral.
CCUACGGGCGGCAGCAGUGGGGAAUAUUGGACAAUGGGGGGAACCCUGAUCCAGCCAUUCCGCGUGUGUGAAGAAGGCCCUCGGGUUGUAAAGCACUUUCAGUGAGGAAGAACGCCUGGUGGUUAAUACCCAUCAGGAAAGACAUCACUCACAGAAGAAGCACCGGCUAACUCCGUGCCAGCAGCCGCGGUAAUACGGAGGGUGCGAGCGUUAAUCGGAAUUACUGGGCGUAAAGCGCGCGUAGGUGGCUUGAUAAGCCGGUUGUGAAAGCCCCGGGCUCAACCUGGGAACGGCAUCCGGAACUGUCAAGCUAGAGUGCAGGAGAGGAAGGUAGAAUUCCCGGUGUAGCGGUGAAAUGCGUAGAGAUCGGGAGGAAUACCAGUGGCGAAGGCGGCCUUCUGGACUGACACUGACACUGAGGUGCGAAAGCGUGGGUAGCAAACAGGAUUAGAUACCCUUGUAGUC